AUUGAACGCUGGCGGCAGGCCUAACACAUGCAAGUCGAGCGAGCGGCGGACGGGUGAGUAAUGUAUGGGGAUCUGCCUGAUGGCGGGGGAUAACUACUGGAAACGGUAGCUAAUCCCGCAUACCAUCAGAUGAACCCAUAUGGGAUUAGCUAGUAGGUAAGGUAACGGCUUACCUAGGCGACGAUCCCUAGCUGGUCUGAGAGGAUGAUCAGCCACACUGGGGAGGAGAAACGGCCCAGAUUCCUCCGGGAGGCAGCAGUGGGGAAUAUUGCACAAGGGGCGCAAGCCUGAUGCAGACAUGCCGCGUGUAUGAAGAAGGCCUGCGGGUUGUAAAGUACGUGUAGUCGGGAGGCGUUACCGACAGAAGAAGCACCGGCUAACUCCGUGCCAGCAGCCGCGGUAAUAC
This 406-nucleotide ribosomal RNA is filed under the name uncultured bacterium. RNAcentral describes it as "partial 16S ribosomal RNA". It matches the Rfam family "Bacterial small subunit ribosomal RNA", at positions 30 to 526 of the family's 1533-position model. The record is from RNAcentral.